GCCUCGUUAGCGCAGUAGGAAGCGCGUCAGUCUCAUAAUCAAAUCUAGAAAUCUGAAGGUCGUGAGUUCGAUCAUCACACGAAGCA
This 86-nucleotide transfer RNA is filed under the name Nematostella vectensis (starlet sea anemone). It matches the Rfam family "tRNA". From Rfam's summary of the family: Transfer RNA (tRNA) molecules are approximately 80 nucleotides in length. Their secondary structure includes four short double-helical elements and three loops (D, anti-codon, and T loops). The record is from Rfam by way of RNAcentral. Lineage: Eukaryota; Metazoa; Cnidaria; Anthozoa; Actiniaria; Edwardsiidae.